GAUCAACGCUGGCGGCGUGCCUAAUGCAUGCAAGUCGAACGGGGCACACUUCGGUGUGUUUACGUGGCGGACGGGUGAGGACCACGUGGGGAACCUGCCCAUCGGUGGGGGGUAGCUCCUGGAAACAGGAGGUAAUUCCGCAUACGCCCGGUUGGUGAGUAGGCCGACUGGGGAAAGCCGGAAGGCGCCGAUGGAGGGGCCUGCGUCCGAUUAGCUGGUUGGUGGGGUAAUGGCCUACCAAGGCGAUGAUCGGUAGCUGGUUUGAGAGGAUGAUCAGCCACACGGGGACUGAGACACGGCCCCGACUCCUACGGGAGGCAGCAGCAAGGAAUUUUCCGCAAUGGGGGCAACCCUGACGGAGCAACGCCGCGUGUGGGAUGACGCUUUUCGGAGUGUAAACCACUGUUCAUGGGGACGAAGCACUGACGGUACCCAUGGAGGAAGGCCCGGCUAACUACGUGCCAGCAGCCGCAGUAA
RNAcentral lists this ribosomal RNA (477 nucleotides) under uncultured bacterium. RNAcentral's name for it is "partial 16S ribosomal RNA". It matches the Rfam family "Bacterial small subunit ribosomal RNA", at positions 28 to 523 of the family's 1533-position model. The record is from RNAcentral.